GGAGAAUCAAGACUGCUGGAACGAGUUCCGUGUGUCUGCUUCGUGGACGCUGAUGUUGGGGUGGAUGUCAAGUCUGGGUCAUCCUAAGAAGACCUGCUCCAGUUCUCACGAGAAGUCCAUGUGCAGGGCUUUGGGAGCUGUUCUACACCUGAGCGCUGAGAUUUUAUGAUUAACAAGUCACACCUACUUCUCCAGCCAGCUCUGCUACACCC
This 212-nucleotide long non-coding RNA is filed under the name Fukomys damarensis (Damara mole-rat). RNAcentral's name for it is "lncRNA (ENSFDAG00000022253.1)". Lineage: Eukaryota; Metazoa; Chordata; Mammalia; Rodentia; Bathyergidae. The record is from RNAcentral.